This 122-nucleotide non-coding RNA is filed under the name Priestia koreensis. Its description in RNAcentral is "Bacillus koreensis SAM-I sequence". It matches the Rfam family "SAM riboswitch aptamer (S box leader)". From Rfam's summary of the family: The SAM riboswitch is found upstream of a number of genes which code for proteins involved in methionine or cysteine biosynthesis in Gram-positive bacteria. The SAM riboswitch acts at the level of transcription termination control. The predicted structure consists of a complex stem-loop region followed by a single stem loop terminator region. The record is from Rfam by way of RNAcentral. Lineage: Bacteria; Bacillati; Bacillota; Bacilli; Caryophanales; Bacillaceae.
CUCUUAUCCAGAGUGGCGGAGGGACUGGCCCUGUGAAGCCCGGCAACCAUCAGAUCAGCGUAAACUGAUUUGAACGGUGCUAAUUCCUGUAGAACAAAGGUAUUUGUUCUCACAGAUGAGAG